RNAcentral lists this ribosomal RNA (501 nucleotides) under uncultured bacterium. Its description in RNAcentral is "partial 16S ribosomal RNA". It matches the Rfam family "Bacterial small subunit ribosomal RNA", at positions 30 to 523 of the family's 1533-position model. The record is from RNAcentral.
AUUGAACGCUGGCGGCAGGCUUAACACAUGCAAGUCGAGCGGGGGAAGGUAGCUUGCUACCGGACCUAGCGGCGGACGGGUGAGUAAUGCUUAGGAAUCUGCCUAUUAGUGGGGGACAACAUCUCGAAAGGGAUGCUAAUACCGCAUACGUCCUACGAGAGAAAGCAGGGGAUCUUUGGACCUUGCGCUAAUAGAUGAGCCUAAGUCGGAUUAGCUAGUUGGUGGGGUAAAGGCCUACCAAGGCGACGAUCUGUAGCGGGUCUGAGAGGAUGAUCCGCCACACUGGGACUGAGACACGGCCCAGACUCCUACGGGAGGCAGCAGUGGGGAAUAUUGGACAAUGGGGGGAACCCUGAUCCAGCCAUGCCGCGUGUGUGAAGAAGGCCUUAUGGUUGUAAAGCACUUUAAGCGAGGAGGAGGCUACUUUAGUUAAUACCUAGAGAUAGUGGACGUUACUCGCAGAAUAAGCACCGGCUAACUCUGUGCCAGCAGCCGCGGUAA